RNAcentral lists this ribosomal RNA (1476 nucleotides) under Streptococcus thermophilus. Its description in RNAcentral is "bacterial SSU rRNA". It matches the Rfam family "Bacterial small subunit ribosomal RNA". Lineage: Bacteria; Bacillati; Bacillota; Bacilli; Lactobacillales; Streptococcaceae. The record is from RNAcentral.
GGACGAACGCUGGCGGCGUGCCUAAUACAUGCAAGUAGAACGCUGAAGAGAGGAGCUUGCUCUUCUUGGAUGAGUUGCGAACGGGUGAGUAACGCGUAGGUAACCUGCCUUGUAGCGGGGGAUAACUAUUGGAAACGAUAGCUAAUACCGCAUAACAAUGGAUGACACAUGUCAUUUAUUUGAAAGGGGCAAUUGCUCCACUACAAGAUGGACCUGCGUUGUAUUAGCUAGUAGGUGAGGUAAUGGCUCACCUAGGCGACGAUACAUAGCCGACCUGAGAGGGUGAUCGGCCACACUGGGACUGAGACACGGCCCAGACUCCUACGGGAGGCAGCAGUAGGGAAUCUUCGGCAAUGGGGGCAACCCUGACCGAGCAACGCCGCGUGAGUGAAGAAGGUUUUCGGAUCGUAAAGCUCUGUUGUAAGUCAAGAACGGGUGUGAGAGUGGAAAGUUCACACUGUGACGGUAGCUUACCAGAAAGGGACGGCUAACUACGUGCCAGCAGCCGCGGUAAUACGUAGGUCCCGAGCGUUGUCCGGAUUUAUUGGGCGUAAAGCGAGCGCAGGCGGUUUGAUAAGUCUGAAGUUAAAGGCUGUGGCUCAACCAUAGUUCGCUUUGGAAACUGUCAAACUUGAGUGCAGAAGGGGAGAGUGGAAUUCCAUGUGUAGCGGUGAAAUGCGUAGAUAUAUGGAGGAACACCGGUGGCGAAAGCGGCUCUCUGGUCUGUAACUGACGCUGAGGCUCGAAAGCGUGGGGAGCGAACAGGAUUAGAUACCCUGGUAGUCCACGCCGUAAACGAUGAGUGCUAGGUGUUGGAUCCUUUCCGGGAUUCAGUGCCGCAGCUAACGCAUUAAGCACUCCGCCUGGGGAGUACGACCGCAAGGUUGAAACUCAAAGGAAUUGACGGGGGCCCGCACAAGCGGUGGAGCAUGUGGUUUAAUUCGAAGCAACGCGAAGAACCUUACCAGGUCUUGACAUCCCGAUGCUAUUUCUAGAGAUAGAAAGUUACUUCGGUACAUCGGUGACAGGUGGUGCAUGGUUGUCGUCAGCUCGUGUCGUGAGAUGUUGGGUUAAGUCCCGCAACGAGCGCAACCCCUAUUGUUAGUUGCCAUCAUUCAGUUGGGCACUCUAGCGAGACUGCCGGUAAUAAACCGGAGGAAGGUGGGGAUGACGUCAAAUCAUCAUGCCCCUUAUGACCUGGGCUACACACGUGCUACAAUGGUUGGUACAACGAGUUGCGAGUCGGUGACGGCGAGCUAAUCUCUUAAAGCCAAUCUCAGUUCGGAUUGUAGGCUGCAACUCGCCUACAUGAAGUCGGAAUCGCUAGUAAUCGCGGAUCAGCACGCCGCGGUGAAUACGUUCCCGGGCCUUGUACACACCGCCCGUCACACCACGAGAGUUUGUAACACCCGAAGUCGGUGAGGUAACCUUUUGGAGCCAGCCGCCUAAGGUGGGACAGAUGAUUGGGGUGAAGUC